Long non-coding RNA from Ictalurus punctatus (channel catfish), 4812 nucleotides. Lineage: Eukaryota; Metazoa; Chordata; Actinopteri; Siluriformes; Ictaluridae. The record is from Ensembl.
GAGAGAGAGAGAGAGAGGAGAGAAAGAACAAUACAAAUGAAUGGUUCAUCUGUACACUGUUCCAAUUAUUAUGAAAUAUAUUGGUGUGUAUUUAACAAUGUAUCAAAUCGCAUAUGAUUAAGGACAAUAUAAUGUGUGGACGUAAUGUUCACAUGUUUAUAUGUACUGUAGACAAACAGUAAGUAAAAAAUUUUUUUCACAGUAAGUGAAUUUUUUUUUUUUUUAUCAUGUCCAAUCAACUGAAUUUACCACAGGUGGACUCCAGUCAAGUUGUCUCAAGGAUGAUCAGUGGAAACAGGAUGCACCCGAGCUCAAUUUUGAGUGUCAUGGCAAAGACUGUGAAUAUUUAUGUACAUGUGCUUUUUUUGUUUUUUAUUUUUAAUAAAUUUGCAAAGAUUUCAAACAAACUUCUUUCACGUUGUCAUUAUGGGGUAUUGUUUGUAGCAUUUUGAGGAAAAUAAUGAAUUUAAUCCAUUUUGGAAUAAGGCUGUAACAUAACAAAAUGUGGAAAAAGUGAUGCGCUGGGAAUACUUUCCGGAUGCACUGUAAACAUUUCACAACUGGCCAUCGCUCAUGAGGAAUGGGAUAAGAUUCUUAAGGAAUGCUGCCAGAAGCUCUGCAUCUUGUUUGCAGCAGGAUAUAACAGCAAAAUGGUGCUCUACUGAGUACUAAAGAUGCUUGCAAUGAAGGGGUUGAAUAAUUUUGAGACUGGAGAAGUCAUUAUAAGUUGCAUUUUCACUUUAAUUUGGUGAAACCACCUCAAGCAUUCGUUGUAUUGAACCUAUUUCAAUUGCUGUUGUUUGAUUUGUUCAUUGCAAACAACUGAAAAUCUGCAAGUUUUGAUAAUAAACCUGAUUUGCAAUGUGGAUUGAAAAUUUUUGAUUGCCAUUAUAUAAUUGUUAAUAUUUAAGCAUUCUAUAUAGUGUGUAGUAUGAGGUUUGUGGAGAAGGUAUGGAGACCCAAAUAAAAUAUUGUUAUUUUCCAGUAGUAUUGUACAAUUGCAUUGUUCUACCAGAGAGGGCAGCUUUUUUAAAUCUUACAUUCAGCAGCUUUAAUAAGACAAAAUUAUGAUUAUCUCCACAAUAUUAUAAAUGUCUCUGUGGAUAUUAAAAGGGGAAGUAAUGUUCAUACACACUGUCAGUGAAGCUUUACCUUGUAUUAUGUAUGGGACUUGUCAUUUCAAGGAAGAUACAGAGAAGAGCAGAGAGGGAGAAAGAACAAUACAAAUGAAUGAUUCCCCUCUACAUUGUACCAAUUAUUAUGAAAUAUAUUGGUGUGUAUUUAAAAAUGUAUCCAAUCUCAUAUGUUGAUGGAUGAUAUAAUGGGUGGAUGCAAUGUUUGCACAUUUAUACAUACACAUGCUUUCUGAUGUUGUAGUAGUUUGUCCUGUUGCCGUUCCACCUAAUAUUAGAAAGAGAGAGAGAAUGAGAGAGAUGAAUGAAUUGAUGAAGGAAUAGGAAUAUUCAUGAAUUACCUUUUCCUCACUUUUAAGGAGGCCUUUGUGCCAUGUGAAAAGAGCAUCAUUUAAGAACUCAACUGAUUUCUUAGUUGUAGGCUCUGAUUGGUAUUUCAGCAGAUAGGUCCCAUGGACUCCCCAAACCACUACUACCAUGGGCUGUGCUGCUCACCAGCUGGAGGGACAUUUGGACUAAGUGGGAUAGAUGGUAUGAGGAGAGUGCACAAGCCUAGAAGGAGACUCUUUGUUUCCCUCCCACCCUGAUUCCACUGAGAACACCGCCCCUACCCUUCCCUGCUGAGGACCUCACUCGGCUUUCGUGCUCCGCUGAGGACAAUGCUUUGCUUCUGUCUUCCGCUGGGGAUUCUGCUUGGCUUCUGUUUUCUGCUGAGGACAUGGCUUCAUUUCUAUGGUCCGCUGAGAAUGUUGCUCCGCUUCUGUGUUCUGCUGAGGAUGUUGCUCCACUUUCCUGUUCUGCUGAGGAUGUUGCUCAGCCUUCCUGCUCUGCUGAGGAUGUUGCUCCGUUUCCCUAUUCCGCUGAGGACAUCGCUCUGCGUCCUUGUACUGCUAAGGACCUCACUCUGCCUACUUGCUCGUCUUGGGAUGUCUCACUGCUUCCGUGCCUUGCUGAGGACAUCAUUACUCCCCUUUUCUCAGCUAAGGAUGUUGUACCUCCCACUUGCUGAGCUGAGGAUGUUGCUCCACCUCCUUGUUUUACCGUCACUGUUGCUCCCCACUGACCUCACCUUAGUCAUCGCUCCCCCCUGGCCUUGCCACAGUCAUCACACUCCCCCUCUGUCCUCGCCGUGAUCGUCACUUCCCCACGGCCUUGCUGUAGUCAUUGCUUCCACCCUGGCCUUACUAUAGUCAUCACUCCCUCCCAACCUCACUGUAGUUGUUGCUUCCCCUCUGGCCUUGCUGUAGUUGUCGCUUUCCCUUUGGCCUCACCAUAGGAGUGGCUGUCACUCACCCCCAGCCUCAGGUGCUGAUUAAAAAAACAACUUUUGAUUACACAGGUGCAAGUGAAUGUUUAUCAAUGCACCAACUUAUUUGUAAUCGCAAAUGUGAACAGAAUUGUCAAAAUGUACUGCCCUGUCCAGAACCCCAGUUGGUGGGAAUGGAGAUGCAGAAAUGCAACACCUGUAAAACUAUUUAACACUGCUUUUGCACAUUUUUAUAUGACAGCCCAGUCUGGGUGCAUCUUCAGCUAGACUGUCUUUAGCUACCAGAGGGAGGCACAGUACACCGCUGAAGUAAUCAGGAGCAAAGAGGUACACCUGUCCGCCUGGCUACUUGUGACAAGCAGUCUGGGUUUUCCCCCAAAUGCUCCUAAUUUAAACACUUCCUGGUUAAGUUUGUGCUGUUAUUUUCUUCUUGGUUUUUGUUUUUAUGAGUUCCCCUGGUUUUGGCUUUAUUUGCCAUAAGGCAGGUGUCAGGCUGCAUACCUUUUAAGCCAUUUAUGAUUGCACCCCUGCCCAUGGCAUACUGGUAACCUACUUGCUUCUCAAUCCAGAGGUUGCAAGUUUGAGGUUUCCCAAACACAGGGGCAUGAGUUCGAUUCCAACAUAGAGUGAGUCAUCACAUUACAGAAAGAUUGUGUUAACAUCAUGGACUCAACAGAGCAAGGAAAAUGUUCUAUAACUAACCAGGUUACUGCUAUCAGAAGGCAUGAGCAGAUAUCAUCUCAGCUGCAAGGAACUGCUGCAGGUUGUUCAGUCAUUCAGGCCCCACCAUUGUCUUCUCAAGCUGCUGGGGUGUUCCACAAUGUUUUAUUGAUGCAAUAUUUUAUUGAUGCUGCCUGGGCCAGAACACUUAAGCUACCACUUGUUCUCCUGGAGCAUCUGCUACACUUAUCAACUAUCGAUGGGUGAUCUCUUCAGCCUUUGCUGGUCUCCCAACAGAACCAAAACCUCACACUCCAAAUUGGGCAGUAUUCUGAGCCAAUCACCCUGUUCCUUACUAGUGCCACUGAUCUGCAGUUGGCGCUGACGUUCCGCUGGCUGCAGAGAAACAACUCCCAUGUGGACUAGUUGACACGGUCAGUAGUAGUCUGGGAGCCCCAGGACAGGGUAUCUGUUUUUAGGCUUCCAAUCCCCAUGCCAGAGCUUCCUCACCCUCCUCUGUGUAGCCCUGACAAGUCUUGGGUCUGUUACCCUUUACCCCUCAUGUCCUCCACCUUGACGCAUGGCAGCUGGCUUCUGUUUUUACCAACCUGGAACUGCGCAGUUCCUACAAUCUCAUCCAGGUUUAGAGAGGUAAUGAAUGGAAUUUUUCUGUCAGGCCAUAAUGAGUACCUUAUGAUGGCCUUUGGGUUGAUGAAUGCACUGGCUGCCUUCCAGUGUUACAUCAACAGGUCCUGAGGGAGGCCUUUGACUGCUAUGUGUUUGUCUCUCUAGAUGACAUUCUCAUUUAUAGUCAGUCAGUGGAUGAAUAUAUAGUUUGUCAGGAGUGUUAUCCAGUUUCUCCAAGAGAAUCAUGUCUAUGUUAAAUUGGAGAAAUCACUUUUCAAUGCUCAGUCAGUCACUUUUCAAGGCGCUUCUGAGCAUGAAUCCAGCCAUGAUUAAGGCAGUUGUGGGCUGGUAGGUACUCUUGGGCACUGGUGGGCCUGACCCAGGUGGAGGGCCUCUAAGUAGACUCUAUGUUCCCACCUCCAUCAGGGCUAAAGUGCUGCAUUGAGCAACAUGCCUCACCAUGUGCAGCUCAUCCAGGGGACACAUGUAUGUAGAUAAAUUUGUGCCAAAACAAAUAAAUCUACCGUUUCGCAAACAAACACAAUCUGCUUUGCAAAGGAAAACUCAAAGCAAACAGAUUCUGGUGCAAAUCUGGCGCAGAUUUUCUCACAAAUGCAGCUGAGCAACUUCCUCUUCCAAACCAACAGAUGUCAAUUUACACUAGUCUCCUGUGGAGAAGCACACAUUACAUUACAUGCACUGUUUUGUUGUAGGUUACAGAGUGUUCCAUUCUUUCAGCAGUCAGUUAUAGGCCUACCAUCGGCUAUUCAAGGGGCUCAAAGAUGACCACAUAAAAAUAUUUUUAUUUUACUCAUUUAUUUAUUUAAAGUUAUAUUGUGCCUUGUUGGUAGCCUAUGUCUGCUGGAAUGAAAAAAAAAAAGUUCAGUGUUAAAUAAAUAUUUUGAAAUUGUAGUUUUUGUAAUUGAUUUUUUCUUUGAAAAGCAAGACAAAAUAGUAAAAAGCACAUUUUGACUAUUUAAUUUAUGCAAUGGUGAAAAAAUGCCAAAAUAAAUGGAAAAAAACGCGAAAAAACAUGUUCGGUAUUCGGCCUUCGGCUUUCGGCCAAGUUUUUCAUUAUGUUUGGUUUCGGCUUCGACCAAGAAUUUUCAUUUCGGUGCAUCCCUA